RNAcentral lists this ribosomal RNA (332 nucleotides) under uncultured Gemmatimonadota bacterium. RNAcentral's name for it is "bacterial SSU rRNA". It matches the Rfam family "Bacterial small subunit ribosomal RNA", at positions 568 to 898 of the family's 1533-position model. Lineage: Bacteria; Pseudomonadati; Gemmatimonadota. The record is from RNAcentral.
CGCGUAGGUGGCGCGAGUAGUCAACGGUGAAAGCCCGGGGCUCAACCCCGGGUCGGCCGUCGAUACUCUCGUGCUUGAGCACUGUAGAGGCAGGUGGAAUUCCGGGUGUAGCGGUGGAAUGCGUAGAGAUCCGGAAGAACACCGGUGGCGAAGGCGGCCUGCUGGGCAGUAGCUGACACUGAGGCGCGACAGCGUGGGGAGCAAACAGGAUUAGAUACCCUGGUAGUCCACGCCGUAAACGAUGGGCACUAGAUGCUUGGGGGAGCGACCCUCUGAGUGUCGUCGCUAACGCAUUAAGUGCCCCGCCUGGGGAGUACGGCCGCAAGGCUGAA